Molecule: ribosomal RNA, 407 nt
Filed under: uncultured bacterium
Lineage: Bacteria
Description: partial 16S ribosomal RNA
Rfam family: Bacterial small subunit ribosomal RNA
Source: RNAcentral
AUUGAACGCUAGCGGGAUGCCUUACACAUGCAAGUCGAACGGAGUGGCGAACGGGUGAGUAAUGUAUCGGAACGUGCCCAGUAGAGGGGGAUAACUACGCGACAGCGUAGCUAAUCCCACAUACUCUUGGAUCGGCAGAUAUCGGAGUCGCUAGUUGGUGGGGUAACGGCUUACCUAGGCGACGAUCUGUAGCUGGUUUGAGAGGACGACCAGCCACACUGGAACUGAGACAAGGCCCAGACUCCUACGGGAGGCAGCAGUGGGGAAUUUUGGACAAUGGGGGAAACCCUGAUCCAGCCAUCCCGCGUGAGCGAUGAAGGCUUUCGGGUUGUAAAGCACUUUUGGCAGGAAAGCGGGACCUGCAGAAUAAGCACCGGCUAACUACGUGCCAGCAGCGGCGGUAAUAG